Molecule: long non-coding RNA, 892 nt
Organism: Carassius auratus (goldfish)
Lineage: Eukaryota; Metazoa; Chordata; Actinopteri; Cypriniformes; Cyprinidae
Exons: 2
Source: RefSeq, a predicted model, not a curated record
GAAAAACAGUGUGUAAAGGGGGAAUAGAAGAAGCUGGCUACCCGAAGCGGUGAGGGUGAAGCGACCCAGGAGCACCUGAGGAGAAAAAAACCCUCAGAUAUCAAUGAAGCACACAAGCAUGAAUUUGCAGCAUUUCCAUUCAGUGCAGUAAGGGCUUAGCUCUCCAGACCCUGAUAGCACAUGGAGCUCUGGUUUGGCAGAAUACCAGCGGGCUCCUCUGUUGAGAGAGUGAAAGGGAGAGCCCACAUAUGGAGUCCGUAGACCACUCAGCCUCAAAGCGUGGCUUAGCUCUCAGGGUGAUGAAAUAUUCAUUGAGCGUGCUCAAACACAGUGAACGCUUCCUCCAUUUUUAAAGUGGCACAGAAGUGGGACUUCUCAUCAUAUUGGCCAUAAUUCAAUCAGGUUAUCAUGUGGUGAUCAUCAAAAGCACAUACACACACAGGAGUCUGGCUGGGGAACAACCCUCUACGAUGAACACACUAGGGUAUUUUAACUUCCCUUGGCAGGGGCCACUAUAGUUCUGUCAACACUACCUCUACUAAUCAAUUUAUAUUGCAUACCUUUGUAACUUCAGCAGAUAGCUGAGAUCAGCUUAUAUUUUUCUUACAGCACACAUUUAAUAAAUGUAGAGUGCUGUGCAAACCACUUUUUGUUGGCAUCAGUCUUUCAUUUUGCAUAUGUUUCAUUGCUAAUUCAUCAAUUUAAACAUUGUAGCUAAUGAAACUGGUAGAAAAUGCACAGCAUUUAAUUAAUCACUAGAUGUCAGGAAUACGUGUUUUUUUGUUUGUUUUUUUAUAGUGUAGGCCUAAAUCAGGUUAGACACCAUACUGAAUUUAACAUGGAUGAAAACUAGCUGUGAGAGAUAGAUAUCCGAAGGCACAAACUGUAUAAA